AGCUUUUCAGAUCCGUGCUGAGAUUUCAUCAGAUACCAACCGAUUAAAACUGAUCAGACUUCCAAGAUAGGUGAAGUU
RNAcentral lists this microRNA precursor (78 nucleotides) under Schistosoma margrebowiei. RNAcentral's name for it is "mir-3492 microRNA precursor family". It matches the Rfam family "mir-3492 microRNA precursor family". Lineage: Eukaryota; Metazoa; Platyhelminthes; Trematoda; Strigeidida; Schistosomatidae. The record is from Rfam by way of RNAcentral.